CCUACGGGGUGCAGCAGUGAGGAAUAUUGGUCAAUGGACGAGAGUCUGAACCAGCCAAGUAGCGUGAAGGAUGACUGCCCUAUGGGUUGUAAACUUCUUUUAUAUGGGAAUAAAAUGUUCCACGUGUGGGAUUUUGUAUGUACCAUAUGAAUAAGGAUCGGCUAAUUCCGUGCCAGCAGCCGCGGUAAUACGGAGGUUCCGAGCGUUAUCCGGAUUUAUUGGGUUUAAAGGGAGCGUAGGUGGAUUGGUAAGUCAGUUGUGAAAUGUUGUGGCUCAACCGUAGAAUUGCAGGUGAAACUGGCAGGCUUGAGGACAGUAGAGGUGGGCGGAAUUCGUGGUGUAGCGGUGAAAUGCUUAGAUAUCACGAAGAACUCCGAUUGCGAAGGCAGUAUACUGGACUGCAACUGACACUGAGGCUCGAAAGUGUGGGUAUCAAACAGGAUUAGAUACCCUAGUAGUC
This 460-nucleotide ribosomal RNA is filed under the name uncultured bacterium. RNAcentral's name for it is "partial 16S ribosomal RNA". It matches the Rfam family "Bacterial small subunit ribosomal RNA", at positions 338 to 795 of the family's 1533-position model. The record is from RNAcentral.